This 1379-nucleotide long non-coding RNA is filed under the name Numida meleagris (helmeted guineafowl). RNAcentral's name for it is "lncRNA (ENSNMEG00000006611.1)". Lineage: Eukaryota; Metazoa; Chordata; Aves; Galliformes; Numididae. The record is from RNAcentral.
CAAUUUCCUACUGUCUUUGCAAGUAACUGAAGAAAAUAAAUAUUUAAUGACCUAUUUCAAUAUUUUAAUGUAGGUUUCUUGGUUAAAACACCACAAAUCUCUCCAUGAAAGGGAGACAAUAGAAUUACUAAAGCAAUGAGCAUUGCAGCAAGUGGGAAGUGGGCUGGAAGGGAGAGGGGAAAGGAAAGAACUGAGGCAAAGCUGCGGAAUGCAUGGGCAUGUCUUCAUCAGGUCAGGAGUCACCACUGCCCAGUGACUGCAGCACUGCCUUGUUUCAAGUGCUCCUUCCCAGAGCUUACUGGGGAAGAAACUCACAACCAGUUUGCUGUUCUACCAUUCACCAGUUCUCUGCAUAAAAGCACAACAGAGCUUUCCACCUCUGUGACUUCUGAGGGCGAGCUUUAUUUGGUUAAUAUUUGUUCAUUUGCACAUUAAAUCCUUUAUGUGGUACUUUCAUGAAGGCCAUGUUUGCACUCAUCUGCAUUUGAGGUUGUUCUCUUGCACAAGGAGAGUGGUACAGAGCACUCAGCAUAGUAUCUUGGUGUGGCACCCCGAAGAAUCAUAGAAUCACAGGCUGUCCUGAGUUGGAGAGGACCCACAGGGAUCACCAGGCCCAACUCCAGGCUCCACACAGCACCACCCAAACCUGAAUCCUAUGGCUGCCCCUCUGCUCCCUGUGAAGAGCUGCAGGCCUCCAUGAGGAGCUGCAGGCCACCAUAAGGAGCUGCAGGCCGCCAUGAAAGAGCUGCAGGCCUCCCCUCAUCCUCCUCUUCUCUAUGCGGAACAAACCAUGGGACCUCAAAUACUCCUCACACACCUUCCCCUCCAGACCCUUUGCCGUUUUCAUAGCCCUCCUUUGUAUGCAAUGUAAUCGUGUUACAGGCUCUGUACAGAGACAGCCUGGGAUUGGAAUCUUGGCCUGGGUUUCAUUUUCCUGCUGUGCUGUCCAGCUUCUCCAUUGCUCCUGCCUGCCCUGUGAUGUAUGGGCCUUUUCAGGCAGCUUUGGCCUGACCCAGCCAGCCAAAAUCAGAGGAAAAUCUGGUUUUAUAUUGCCUGGGGAGAAUUCAUCACAGAAGGGUUGCUGGUUGCUGACACUACCAUGCCUCAAUCCAUCCCAUCAGCUCUGUGUGAAGAUGAUGAUGACCCCAUCCUGUUGGUCCCCUGAAGAUCUGGCCCUCAGGUUCAUUGCCAGACCCACAAGGAUCUAAAGGCUCUGAAAGACAUCCGCAGCACCCCAUUAUUUGGGUCAUUACACCAUCCCACCAAUUAAUCCUCAUUACCACAGCUAGUAUUUACUGUUGUGAAUAAGCUCAACUGUUCACAAUAGGUAGUUGCACUUCCAACCCCAAUAAUCAGGUGGCAGAUUCAUAAAAAUCAAG